CCUACGGGAGGCAGCAGGGAGGAAUAUUGGUCAAUGGGCGCGAGCCUGAACCAGCCAAGUCGCGUGAGGGAAGACGGUCCUAUGGAUUGUAAACAUCUUUUGUCGGGGAGCAAAAGACGCCACGCGUGGCGUUACGAGAGUACCUGAAGAACAAGCAUCGGCUAACUCCGUGCCAGCAGCCGAGGUAAUACGGAGGCUGCGAGCGUAAUCCGGAUUUAUUGGGUUUAAAGGGUGCGUAGGAGGAAGAUCAAGUCAGCGGUAAAAUUGAGAGGCUCACCCUCUACGAGCCGUUGAAACUGGUUUUCUUGAGUGAGCGCGAAGUAUGCGGAAUGCGUGGUGUAGCGGUGAAAUGCUUAGAUAUCACGAAGAACUCCGAUUGCGAAGGCAGCAUACCGGCGCUCAACUGACGCUCAUGCACGAAAGUGUGGGUAUCGAACAGGAUUAGAUACCCGAGUAGUC
Molecule: ribosomal RNA, 459 nt
Filed under: uncultured bacterium
Lineage: Bacteria
Description: partial 16S ribosomal RNA
Rfam family: Bacterial small subunit ribosomal RNA
Source: RNAcentral